This 454-nucleotide ribosomal RNA is filed under the name uncultured bacterium. RNAcentral describes it as "bacterial SSU rRNA". It matches the Rfam family "Bacterial small subunit ribosomal RNA", at positions 463 to 917 of the family's 1533-position model. The record is from RNAcentral.
GGGCUCAUGACGGUACUGUAAGAAUAAGCACCGGCUAACUACGUGCCAGCAGCCGCGGUAAUACGUAGGGUGCAAGCGUUAAUCGGAAUUACUGGGCGUAAAGCGUGCGCAGGCGGUUAUAUAAGACAGAUGUGAAAUCCCCGGGCUCAACCUGGGAACUGCAUUUGAGACUGUAUAGCUAGAGUACGGUAGAGGGGGAUGGAAUUCCGCGUGUAGCAGUGAAAUGCGUAGAUAUGCGGAGGAACACCGAUGGCGAAGGCAAUCCCCUGGACCUGUACUGACGCUCAUGCACGAAAGCGUGGGGAGCAAACAGGAUUAGAUACCCUGGUAGUCCACGCCCUAAACGAUGUCAACUGGUUGUUGGGUCUUAACUGACUCAGUAACGAAGCUAACGCGUGAAGUUGACCGCCUGGGGAGUACGGCCGCAAGGUUGAAACUCAAAUGAAUUGACGGG